RNAcentral lists this ribosomal RNA (468 nucleotides) under uncultured bacterium. RNAcentral describes it as "partial 16S ribosomal RNA". It matches the Rfam family "Bacterial small subunit ribosomal RNA", at positions 28 to 507 of the family's 1533-position model. The record is from RNAcentral.
GACGAACGCUGGCGGCGUGCUUAACACAUGCAAGUCGAACGGAAAGGCCCUGCUUUUGUGGGGUGCUCGAGUGGCGAACGGGUGAGUAACACGUGAGUAACCUGCCCUUGACUUUGGGAUAACUUCAGGAAACUGGGGCUAAUACCGGAUAGGAGCUCCUGCUGCAUGGUGGGGGUUGGAAAGUUUCGGCGGUUGGGGAUGGAUUCGCGGCUUAUCAGUUUGUUGGUGGGGUAGUGGCUUACCAAGCCUUUGACGGGUAGCCGGCCUGAGAGGGGGACCGGCCACAUUGGGACUGAGAGACGGCCCAGACUCCUACGGGAGGCAGCAGGGGAGAAUAUUGCACAAUGGGCGGGAGCCUGAGACAGCAACGCCGCGGGCGGGAUGACGGCCUUCGGGUUGUAAACCGCUUUCGCCUGAGACGAAGCGUGAGUGACGGUAAUGGGUAAAGAAGCACCGGCUAACUACGUG